GACCAGAGUGUUGAGCCUAGUUCAGGGCUGCUUCCCUGUUCUCGUAAUUAAACUUUGGGACAUUAAGAAAUGAGCUGGGGAAGUUGACUGGGUGGAAGGUAUUUCUUUAUUCAAUUUCUCCUAGCCUACAAAU
Sorex fumeus (smoky shrew) is the source of this 133-nucleotide small nucleolar RNA. NCBI's taxonomy places the organism in Eukaryota, Metazoa, Chordata, Mammalia, Eulipotyphla, Soricidae. The record is from RefSeq and is a predicted model, not a curated record.